This 482-nucleotide long non-coding RNA is filed under the name Salmo salar (Atlantic salmon). RNAcentral's name for it is "lncRNA (ENSSSAG00000117282.1)". Lineage: Eukaryota; Metazoa; Chordata; Actinopteri; Salmoniformes; Salmonidae. The record is from RNAcentral.
GCCUGGGCUGCUCUGCUAGCUCAAACCAACAUCUUAGCGAAGAGAUGCCUAGGCUGCUCUGCUAGCUCAAACAAACCUCUGAGGAAGCCUGUAUGGCUGGAACCUAAAAAGGACCUAUCUGCUGCCUUUGAUACUGUGAACCAUCAGAUCCUCCUCUCCACCCUCUCCGAGUUGGGCAUCUCCGGCGCGGCCCACGCUUGGAUUGCGUCCUACCUGACAGGUCGCUCCUACCAGGUGGCGAAUCGCAUCUCUGCAUGUCUGGCAGACAUAUCAGUGUGGAUGACGGAUCACCACCUCAAGCUGAACCUCGGCAAGACAGAGCUGCUCUUCCUCCCGGGGAAGGACUGCCCGUUCCAUGAUCUCGCCAUCACGGUUGACAACUCCCUUGUGUCCUCCUCCCAGAGUGCUAAGAACCUUGGCGUGACCCUGGACAACACCCUGUCGUUCUCCACUAACAUCAAGGCGGUGACCCGAUCCUGUAG